CGUGUAGGCGGAUAGAUAAGUCAGAAGUGAAAUCCUGUGGCUCAACCAUAGAACUGCUUUUGAAACUGUCUAUCUAGAGUAUGGGAGAGGUAGAUGGAAUUUCUGGUGUAGGGGUAAAAUCCGUAGAGAUCAGAAGGAAUACCGAUUGCGAAGGCGAUCUACUGGAACAUAACUGACGCUGAGACGCGAAAGCGUGGGGAGCAAACA
RNAcentral lists this ribosomal RNA (207 nucleotides) under uncultured bacterium. RNAcentral's name for it is "partial 16S ribosomal RNA". It matches the Rfam family "Bacterial small subunit ribosomal RNA", at positions 568 to 774 of the family's 1533-position model. The record is from RNAcentral.